This is a long non-coding RNA of Engraulis encrasicolus (European anchovy), 598 nucleotides long. RefSeq lists it as uncharacterized. Lineage: Eukaryota; Metazoa; Chordata; Actinopteri; Clupeiformes; Engraulidae. The record is from RefSeq and is a predicted model, not a curated record. The transcript is spliced from 3 exons.
GUCCCCUACUGCGAUCAAGGCGCUGGGCCGUUGGUCGUCUGGCGCAUACGCUUCCUGCAUUUGCCUCACUCCUCAUCACGUCGUUGAAGCAUGCUAUAUCUGGUCACGAUUCCGGCUCUCUACCUACUGUCAUAAUCUAAGUUUUCAGCGCUCUCCUGACCAAGGUGCAUCUACCAAUCAAAUCAUAACGCUCUGCUGUCUCUCUGCUCUCAGCGCAUCCGCGCCAUGUCUUCUCGCAUAGCCUAAGAUGGUGUCUCCUUGUAAGCGGUAGGUGAGUUCACUUCUAAUCUCUAUUUUGGGGCAGGCUACGCCCGCCUCCAUCUCCGCUGGAGGAUAUGCUGUCCUACCCCGGAGUUCAACGCGAAGACGGGAACCUUCGCCAAACAGAUUCAUGCAUUUUGUGUCAAGUGUAAUUGUUCGCCAAACGGAUUCAUGCAUUUUUGUAUCAUGUCUAUUGUUCAAUAAAUGUUAAUAACGUUCAUUUGCCUCUCGAGUCUUCAUGGUAGAAAUGGGAGCUUGCGUAAAUUCUACCAGGGAGACUCGAAUUUCUCGGCUGUCAAACUUACUAGGCUAACCAUCCAAUCUCCCUUUUGACAGA